Molecule: ribosomal RNA, 1522 nt
Filed under: metagenome
Description: bacterial SSU rRNA
Rfam family: Bacterial small subunit ribosomal RNA
Source: RNAcentral
AGAGUUUGAUCAUGGCUCAGAUUGAACGCUGGCGGCAGGCCUAACACAUGCAAGUCGAACGGUAACAGGAAGCAGCUUGCUGCUUCGCUGACGAGUGGCGGACGGGUGAGUAAUGUCUGGGAAGCUGCCUGAUGGAGGGGGAUAACUACUGGAAACGGUAGCUAAUACCGCAUAAUGUCGCAAGACCAAAGAGGGGGACCUUCGGGCCUCUUGCCAUCGGAUGUGCCCAGAUGGGAUUAGCUUGUUGGUGGGGUAACGGCUCACCAAGGCGACGAUCCCUAGCUGGUCUGAGAGGAUGACCAGCCACACUGGAACUGAGACACAGUCCAGACUCCUACGGGAGGCAGCAGUGGGGAAUAUUGCACAAUGGGCGCAAGCCUGAUGCAGCCAUGCCGCGUGUAUGAAGAAGGCCUUCGGGUUGUAAAGUACUUUCAGCGGGGAGGAAGGGAGUAAAGUUAAUACCUUUGCUCAUUGACGUUACCCGCAGAAGAAGCACCGGCUAACUCCGUGCCAGCAGCCGCGGUAAUACGGAGGGUGCAAGCGUUAAUCGGAAUUACUGGGCGUAAAGCGCACGCAGGCGGUUUGUUAAGUCAGAUGUGAAAUCCCCGGGCUCAACCUGGGAACUGCAUCUGAUACUGGCAAGCUUGAGUCUUGUAGAGGGGGGUAGAAUUCCAGGUGUAGCGGUGAAAUGCGUAGAGGUCUGGAGGAAUACCGGUGGCGAAGGCGGCCCCCUGGACGAAGACUGACGCUCAGGUGCGAAAGCGUGGGGAGCAAACAGGAUUAGAUACCCUGGUAGUCCACGCCGUAAACGAUGUCGACUUGGAGGUUGUGCCCUUGAGGCGUGGCUUCCGGAGCUAACGCGUUAAGUCGACCGCCUGGGGAGUACGGCCGCAAGGUUAAAACUCAAAUGAAUUGACGGGGGCCCGCACAAGCGGUGGAGCAUGUGGUUUAAUUCGAUGCAACGCGAAGAACCUUACCUGGUCUUGACAUCCACGGAAGUUUUCAGAGAUGAGAAUGUGCCUUCGGGAACCGUGAGACAGGUGCUGCAUGGCUGUCGUCAGCUCGUGUUGUGAAAUGUUGGGUUAAGUCCCGCAACGAGCGCAACCCUUAUCCUUUGUUGCCAGCGGUCCGGCCGGGAACUCAAAGGAGACUGCCAGUGAUAAACUGGAGGAAGGUGGGGAUGACGUCAAGUCAUCAUGGCCCUUACGACCAGGGCUACACACGUGCUACAAUGGCGCAUACAAAGAGAAGCGACCUCGCGAGAGCAAGCGGACCUCAUAAAGUGCGUCGUAGUCCGGAUUGGAGUCUGCAACUCGACUCCAUGAAGUCGGAAUCGCUAGUAAUCGUGGAUCAGAAUGCCACGGUGAAUACGUUCCCGGGCCUUGUACACACCGCCCGUCACACCAUGGGAGUGGGUUGCAAAAGAAGUAGGUAGCUUAACCUUCGGGAGGGCGCUUACCACUUUGUGAUUCAUGACUGGGGUGAAGUCGUAACAAGGUAACCGUAGGGGAACCUGCGGUUG